RNAcentral lists this long non-coding RNA (495 nucleotides) under Elaeis guineensis (African oil palm). RNAcentral's name for it is "long non-coding RNA (EGUI_LNC073192)". Lineage: Eukaryota; Viridiplantae; Streptophyta; Magnoliopsida; Arecales; Arecaceae. The record is from RNAcentral.
GGAUUUCACCUGGUUACCUAACAGACAGUUAAUACCCUCCUUCGAUGCAAUGAGUCUAUAUGUCACCUAUCAAGAUAUAACCUAUCUGGUGGGAACACGGUUCAUACCUAUUAGAUCACGACCCGUUCCUCUACAGUAUAGGUUAGUCAAGAUAAGAUGCAUACAAGGUAACUAAAAAGAGAAUAAAAAAUAGAUAUUUAAUAACGGAUCUUGUGUUUUAUAAAAAGAAGAAGUAUAAAAAUAAAUAAAAUAAUAAAAAUACUGCUUAUUACACUUCAAAAAUUUUUUGAGAAUUGAAAAAUUUAACCGGUCGUUAAAUUUUUGCUCGCUGAUAUCUUGGGAUUAAGAAGACUUCUGGGCAGCAGCAAAAUGAAUUUGGGUGUUUGGAUGGUUAGGCUAGAUGAAGUAUGAAAAUGGUUUUAGGUGGAAAAAAAAAGAUCGCCGGUUUGUGGCCUGAAAAAAUCCCCCUUUCAAUCCUCUGCGGUCUUUUUUUUU